RNAcentral lists this transfer RNA (75 nucleotides) under Clostridiales bacterium. Its description in RNAcentral is "tRNA-Met". It matches the Rfam family "tRNA". Rfam says of the family: Transfer RNA (tRNA) molecules are approximately 80 nucleotides in length. RNAcentral also lists the same sequence under 2 other names. The record is from RNAcentral. Lineage: Bacteria; Bacillati; Bacillota; Clostridia; Eubacteriales.
CGCGGGGUGGAGCAGAGGUAGCUUGCUGGGCUCAUAACCCAGAGGUCGUGGGUUCGAAUCCCUCCCCCGCUACCA